UACGUAGGGUGCGAGCGUUGUCCGGAAUUAUUGGGCGUAAAGGGCUCGUAGGCGGUUUGUCGCGUCGGGAGUGAAAUCCACUGGCUUAACUGGUGGCUUGCUUUCGAUACGGGCAGACUGGAGGCAUGCAGGGGAGAACGGAAUUCCUGGUGUAGCGGUGAAAUGCGCAGAUAUCGGGAAGAACACCUAUGGCGAAGGCAGCUCUCUGGGACGGUACUGACGCUGAGACGCGAAAGCGUGGGGAGCGAACAGG
This 253-nucleotide ribosomal RNA is filed under the name uncultured bacterium. RNAcentral describes it as "partial 16S ribosomal RNA". It matches the Rfam family "Bacterial small subunit ribosomal RNA", at positions 524 to 776 of the family's 1533-position model. The record is from RNAcentral.